This 72-nucleotide transfer RNA is filed under the name Ailuropoda melanoleuca (giant panda). It matches the Rfam family "tRNA". From Rfam's summary of the family: Transfer RNA (tRNA) molecules are approximately 80 nucleotides in length. Their secondary structure includes four short double-helical elements and three loops (D, anti-codon, and T loops). The record is from Rfam by way of RNAcentral. Lineage: Eukaryota; Metazoa; Chordata; Mammalia; Carnivora; Ursidae.
ACCUGGCUGACUCAGUGGGUAGAGCACAUGACUCUUGAUCUUGGGUCGUGAGUUAGAGCCCCAUGCUGGGCA